This 492-nucleotide ribosomal RNA is filed under the name uncultured bacterium. RNAcentral's name for it is "partial 16S ribosomal RNA". It matches the Rfam family "Bacterial small subunit ribosomal RNA", at positions 29 to 507 of the family's 1533-position model. The record is from RNAcentral.
AGUGAACGCUGGCGGUAGGCCUAACACAUGCAAGUCGAACGGCAGCACAGUAAGAGCUUGCUCUUACGGGUGGCGAGUGGCGGACGGGUGAGGAAUAAAUCGGAAUCUACUUUUUCGUGGGGGAUAACGUAGGGAAACUUACGCUAAUACCGCAUACGACCUACGGGUGAAAGCAGGGGAUCUUCGGACCUUGCGCGAUUGAAUGAGCCGAUGUCGGAUUAGCUAGUUGGCGGGGUAAAGGCCCACCAAGGGGACGAUCCGUAGCUGGUCUGAGAGGAUGAUCAGCCACACUGGAACUGAGACACGGUCCAGACUCCUACGGGAGGCAGCAGUGGGGAAUAUUGGACAAUGGGCGCAAGCCUGAUCCAGCCAUACCGCGUGGGUGAAGAAGGCCUUCGGGUUGUAAAGCCCUUUUGUUGGGAAAGAAAAGCAGCAGGUUAAUACCCCGCUGUUCUGACGGUACCCAAAGAAUAAGCACCGGCUAACUUCGUG